AUUGAACGCUGGCGGCAUGCUUUACACAUGCAAGUCGAACGGCAGCGCGGGCUUCGGCCUGGCGGCGAGUGGCGAACGGGUGAGUAAUACAUCGGAACGUGCCCAGUAGUGGGGGAUAGCUCGGCGAAAGCCGGAUUAAUACCGCAUACGACCUGAGGGUGAAAGCGGGGGAUCUUCGGACCUCGCGCUAUUGGAGCGGCCGAUGGCAGAUUAGCUAGUUGGUGGGGUAAAGGCCUACCAAGGCGACGAUCUGUAGCUGGUCUGAGAGGAAGAACAGCCACACGGGGACUGAGGCACGGCCCAGACUCCUACGGGAGGCAGCAGUGGGGAAUUUUGGACAAUGGGCGAAAGCCUGAUCCAGCAAUGCCGCGUGUGUGAUGAAGGCCUUCGGGUUGUAAAGCACUUUUGGCGGGAACGAAAAGGACUGUGCCAAUACCACGGUUCGAUGACGGUACCCGCAGAAUAAGCACCGGCUAACUACGUG
Molecule: ribosomal RNA, 484 nt
Filed under: uncultured bacterium
Lineage: Bacteria
Description: partial 16S ribosomal RNA
Rfam family: Bacterial small subunit ribosomal RNA
Source: RNAcentral